GCGCCUUGCCAGCCCGCCUCAGAAACUCAAAGGAAAUUGACGGGGACCCGCACAAGCGGUGGAUGAUGUGGAUUAAUUCGAUGCAACGCGAACAACCUUACCUACCCCUUGACAUGUCCGGAAGCCUGCUGAAAGGCGGGGGUGCCUGAAAGGGAACCGGAACACAGGUGCUGCAUGGCUGUCGUCAGCUCGUGUCGUGAGAUGUUGGGUUAAGUCCCGCAACGAGCGCAACCCUUGUCCCUAGUUGCUACGCAAGGGCACUCUAGGGAGACUGCCGGUGACAAACCGGAGGAAGGUGGGGAUGACGUCAAGUCCUCAUGGCCCUUAUGGGUAGGGCUUCACACGUCAUACAAUGGUCGGUACAGAGGGUCGCCAACCCGCGAGGGGGAGCCAAUCCCACAAAGCCGAUCGUAGUCCGGAUUGCAGUCUGCAACUCGACUGCAUGAAGUCGGAAUCGCUAGUAAUCGUGGAUCAGCAUGUCACGGUGAAUACGUUCCCGGGUCUU
Molecule: ribosomal RNA, 505 nt
Filed under: uncultured beta proteobacterium
Lineage: Bacteria; Pseudomonadati; Pseudomonadota; Betaproteobacteria
Description: bacterial SSU rRNA
Rfam family: Bacterial small subunit ribosomal RNA
Source: RNAcentral